CCCUGGCCGGAGCGCCCCGAGGCCCCGGUAGCAGAGGGGAGCCCGCGGGCGGCGGGCGGGCGUGUCGCGGCGCCCGCGUUGCGGCUAGGCCGGAGGUGCGCCGGUCCCCGCGGGGCCUGCGCGGCGCGGGCGCGGGGACGCGGGGGAGGGGCGCCCCGCGGGGCCGGUUGUGUCUCCCGGGACCCAGGGACCUCCUAAGUCCUGCGCCCCACGGAAGUCCUUGCAUCACAUUUGCACGCUCAUCCCCACCCCUGCGGAGGGAGAUGGGUCUGGUGCUUCUGGCUCAGAAGACCCAGCCACCUGCAGAAGGUGUGGCCGCUCCCCGGAGUGGCCUGGUGGGUGAAGAGGGCAGCCGGUUCCCUGGGUGAGGCUACCUGUGAAUUGCUUCGAGAAGACCAAAUGAAUGACAUGGAUUCGACCAUGUGGAUGCAGCUCACGUUUCUGCAAAGUUGAGAGAGUAAAUCACGACUGCUGUGCAUUUAUGCACGAAUAAAAUGAGGCAGAGCCUCAUGCCCCUUUGCUUUGUAGAAUGCUUUCUCCUUGCACACAGUGGGCGCUUAAUACGCGCUAAGUGCCAGUUUAGAGCGGGAUUUGCUGGGCCAUCCAGAAUGGGAGCUAAUCAUGGAAACUGUCUGCAGAAUGCCUUUGAAAACAGAAAUCUGAUGAGUAAUUGUCAAGCUUUGAAAUUUUUCAAAGUUUCAAAGUAUCUCCUUAAUAGUUUUCCCCAUGUCUUCUGAUAAAGGUGAGGUAAAGAACCUAUGCUCUCAAGUAUUGGUGGUCUGAAAAGCGGUUUAAUAGAGUAGCAAAGCUGCUGAAUCAUAUCGUGACUGAGUAGUCAUAGCUAAAAGUGCUCCAGGUAUAAAGUUUCUCAUCAUGGCUUAAACUGUAGUGAUGCAGUUUCAAGACGAGUUUUCCCAGUUCCUCACUGGACUCCCCUUACUUAUUAAACUAAACAGAAAUGAUAACAGAAAACAGUUAUCCCAAGUUCCAUCCAUUUCAUCAGUUAAUUUAUGUAAGUUGAAUGAGUAAUACUUUUAUCUGGUUAACUUUCUUAACUUGGGACUACCUGCUGAUUGAAAGAUAAUUUAGUUUUAACAUGAAUUAAACACAAUUAUUUCUUACGAGUUAACUUGGAGCCAGAUGAUUUAGACUAGCAUUGGUAAAUCAUAAGCCUCUUAUUUUGAGUUGGCAAAGUUUUCCCAGUAUUGUGCAGCUAUCUUUAAAGAGGGUCAAGGGUUUAUGAAUUUUCUAAAGCUAAACUUUUAAGUGAUGAUAUCUUACUCCCAAAGGUCUAAUUAUUUUCUUUCAAUGGUGAGAGGAUUGAAAAAGAAGUUUAAAUUGUUUUGGCAAGGCUAACAGUUAUUAUACUUGGGAAAUAGUUGUUCCAGCAAAGUUUUUGAAAAAUAGAUGUUAAAAUGAACAAACACUUGAACCCAAAGCUUGAAGAGGCUGACUGGAACUGCUGUGUGCCUCAGAUGAGAAGAGGCCUUCACAGGACAGCGGGCCAUGCAGAAAGAGAUAGGAUUGGAGCUCAUGAAGAAGAACGUUUGGCCUAGCUGGUGCUGUAUAAAUACACUUUAGAUAAAGAAGCAAGAGUCAACAUACAGAAGUACUCAUGAAAGCUCUACAUUUUAUUAUUUAUUGUCAUUUGCUCUACACGUGAUAUACGAUAAGCUCUAUACAUGAGAUAAUGAGGGGUUUUGUUUGUUUGUUUGUUUGUUUUUUUGUAAAUGGUUGGUUCACUGAUUUAAUGUUUUAAUCAGCUAGUGGCCCCAUUAAAGAUUCAUGAAGAGACCUAAGAUGUAUAUGUUAUUUUAGUUUUAUUCAAGGGUCUUAUUUAGUAUCUUAUAUAUCUGUAAGAGGGUUAGACUCCUUUUGAAUUGUUACCAUUUAAUCUCUAGUCAAAAGCACUGACAGACUUUUCAAAAUCCGUAGUUUUCAUUAUUACUAUUGUUUAUCACUCAGAUUACCCACGUUAAGUUGUGAGUGGCAGUCUUUCUCAUAUAUAUAUAUAUAGAUAGAUUUAUGUGUAUGUGUAUGUACGUAUAUGUAUAUAUGUGUAUGUAUGUAUAGAUUUAUGUAUGUGUAUGUAUAUAUGUGUAUGUACAUAUAUACACACAUACACACACACACACACACACACACACACACACACACACAUAUAUAUAUGCGCUUACAUGGCUGCAUUUUCAUGUGUAUGGUGAUUCUGAUUAUUGGGCUUGUAGCGUCACCUUCAAAACACCAGUUUUACCCUGCGCUUCCAGCCACAGCUCUUGCUUUUACUCUUUUCCAUUUCUCGUAAGGAACAAGGAACUGUGGCUUCAAAGACAAAAUAAAUCUGCUUUCACUAGUCUUUUUCUUAAGCAGCAUUUUUCCUCCUUCAAGAUGCUUCUUAAAGACACACGUUCUUCUGAUUUGCUCUUUGCUUUUUUUCCUUUCAUUUCUGUUUGUUUGGUACUGGAGCUAGGUCCUGUCUCCGUAAACACCCCAAGUAUUCUAAGCCCAAGCCUGCCCCACUCACUCACUCACUCACAUGCUGGGUAACUGUGAAGUGCUACCCUCUCCACUCCCCACUGUCUACACAGAGGCCUGGUGCUGUUUCCUGGAGACCAGAGAAGCUUCUCCUGGUGAGUGGAUGCUCGAGUUGGUAGAAACACUCUUUGUGUGACCGUCAUAAAUAGGUGAGGUUAAACUGGUGACAAGGGAGCUUGGAAACACAGAGAACACUAAAUUCAGCAAGAAGGUCAUGCCCCAGACUUGUGCAUGAACAGUGUAUCACUGCUGUGGAAUCUUACACUGUAUCACUGCUGUGAAACCUUUUGGCUUUGGGACUCAGAAAGCAAUUGUGGCCAUUAGCUGGUAUCAUCUUUGGGUGCAUAUGUGAAAUUACACCUGGAUUUUGAAUUUAUUUAUGUAAUAGCCUAGCACUUGCUUUUUGCCAAUAUUCUAAAUAUUUUGGGGUUCUUUUGUUUGUUUGUUUUUGUGAAGGAAAACAAAACACCAGAGUUUGGGGUAUCUUAAAUGCUAAUGAAAGAAGAUGAAUAACAAUUUAAGUAAAUGAAGGAGUGUUGAAAGGUAGUUAAUGAUACAGAAGUUAGAAUAAGGUACAGUAGAUUUGGAGUAAUGAAUGUUAGGAUUUUAAAUAAAUGGUCAGGAUAGUCCCUAGAAGCUAACACAAGGGUCACAAUUUUGAGAGGUGACAUGAGAGGGAGCAGGGAGAUGGGAUCAUGCCUUUGGAAGAGAGACUCGGGAAUCUGACCCAAUUUUGUUCUUAUAGUGGCGAUGAACUAACAUGUCCGAUGAACUCAGAGAACUAACUUCCCCUGGAUGGCAAGAGCACACCUUAGCUGUCACUUAUUAUGCAGGUUUCCAUUUAUGGGGCUAAAAUCUUAGUCACAGGAAGUGGCUUUCCCUAAGCCAGGACGGGCAUCUCUAGACCUAGAACAUCACUGGAGUUGAUAUUUUUACCUAUUUCCCUAUAAUCCACAGGUGCUUCAUUUCAUUGAGUAGGUAUGUAAGCUAUCAACUUAAUAAAGCCAAAGCCUCUGAAAAGAAACGUGAGGGUAAUUCCUAUCAAUAAUGUAGAUUCGCUUCCUGAGAUGACUUAAUAAAUGUUAUGGCUUGAAUGAGGAAGGUCUCCCAUAGGUUCAUGGGCCUAGAUAAUAGGUCCUCAAAUGGUAGUACAGCUAGUUAUAGAAGGCCGUGUGACUUUUAAGAAGUAGAAGCCAGCUGGAGGAAGUAGGCCUUUGGGGAAAAGAAGGUCCUGGAGCCCUGCCCCACUUCCUGUCUGUGGUCUGCUUCUUGAUUAGUGCUGCAGUGUGACCAGCUACCGCACACUUCUUGCCGCCAUGCCAGACUGUACCUUAUUUCUUGAGCCAAAAGAAAUGUUCUUGUAAGUUCUUUUUGUCAGGUAUUUUAUGACAACAAUAAGAGAAGUAACUUUGAUUUUUAAAAAAAGUACUGAGAAGUGGGGCAGGUGCUAUAAUAAAUUAGAUUAUAGAAGUCUUUGGAACUAGUUUAUGGGAGUCAUGUGGAAGACUGGACUAGAAUAGAGGAACCUCACUACACCAUAAACAGAGCUUAGUGGGUCAUUCUGUUGGGAAGAUCAAAAUGCAGAGAUAAAUGUGGAGAGUAGAGGCCUAAGUCAGGAACAGGACUAGAGGACACUGGCAUUACAUUCUGGUAAAGAGUCUAUCUUUAUUCUGUUCAUAUCCUGAGAACUUAGACCGAAUUCAAAAGUGAUAGACUAAUUUGUUUGGUAGAGUAAAUUUCCAGGCAGGAUAGCAUUUAGGCUGUGCUAUGGUUACUGCUCACUGUCCUUCGUCUAGGGUUACAAUUAAAAAGAGCAACAAAAUGGAGCAGGAGGACCUAAAGAAAAUUCUAGUUUCCUGAGGCAAGGAGCAGGUUUAAGGUCGCAGACAUGGCAGGUGCUGAAAAAAACUCUUGUAGUUAUUUAAGGAGAUGAACACAGUUAAAGAAACUUCCCAUUCUGCACUGGCACAACUGGGAUGGUACCAAGGACAAGCUCCCACCUAGUAAAGGCUCCAUCUAAUGAAAAUCAGAUUUAUUAGAAGGGAGGGUGCCUGAGCUGAGAGUGCUACCGAAGUGCAUCCCUGCCUGAUGACAACUGUUUUUCUGCCUGGAAAACGGUUUUGCAGAUUCAGCAACCAACAAACACAGAGCCACUCUAGCUUUGAUCCAGAGGGCCCAGGCUACAUCUCAAGAUGACAGCAGAACCUGGCAGUGACCUCCAAAUUGCCGAUAGUAAAGGCUUAAAGAUGUAAGAGUAAGGGGCUUGGGGAGGAGGGCUGUCCUAUAGGCUUUUGCCAAGAUUCUAGAAGGCUGCUAACUCCAGGCAAUGUGUGGAAGAAUUGGCUUCCCUGUACUGAGGCCUGAGAGGCCAUUGCAUGAAUUGGGAAAAUGAAGUUGAAGUUGCAGUGAAAACCCCCCAGCCCCCAGUGUGCUAAAACUUUCAGGACCAUAGAGUAUUGCUGAGGAAGGACUCAGGUGGCACAGCUGGCCAGGGCUUCCGAGGCUCUUGGAGUCCAGGUGAUUCAUUCUAUCAUGGAUGUCAAAUGCCAGGUAUGGAGCUGCAGAACUUGGUGGUUUUCCUGUUAGCUUUUGGUCUUGCAUUGGUCUAAUUUUUCCUUACUGUGCCCUACUUCCUCCCUUUUGGAAUGGAAGCCCUUAUGCCAUUGUGUGCAUUAUGUGUUGGAAGUAUGUAUCUGAUUUUUAGAUAUCAUGGGCUUAGAGUUAAGGAUAAUUGCCCCUAGUCUCAGAAGAGACUUUGGGAUUUGGAACAGUGUUGGGAGGGUUUUUUUUUUUAGGUUUAUUUUUAUUUGUGUGUGUGUGUGUGUGUGUGUGUGUGUAAAUACCACAUGUUUGCAGGUUCCCAGGUCACAAGAGAAGAGAGUGUCAGGAGUGAUAGUGACGUCUGACGUGCCUGCUGGGUCUUCUGGAAAGGCGGCACGUUACCCAUAUCUGCUGAGCCGUCUCUCCGGCUCCUCCCCACUUUUCAGUUAGUGCUCCUGCUUGUUCAUCAUUUACAAUGCGUUGUCGCCUGUGUGUUUGCUGGGAACUCAACCAGGGCCUCAAGCUCCAUCCCCAACCCCCUGGUGGGGUAUGUGCAGUUUUCAUUUUGUGUUGACCAUGACUCUGUGGGGAAUGGGACAGACUGAAAUAUUACGGUUUGGGUGUGAACUCUUUCCUUAGCCCCUGUUAGUCCUCACAAGGCCCCAGAACCUUUAGGAUGUGGUGCUUUGCCGAAGAAAGUGGGUCACAAAGAGCGGCCUUGAGGUCUUACAGUCCAGUGCCCUUUCCAGUCUGCUUCUUGUUUGCUGAUGUGACCAGCCACCUUAUACUCUUGCCACCAUGCCUUCUUCACCAUGAUAAGUAAGGGCUCCUCAAACUGGCAGCCCUUAAACCCCUUUCCCCGGACAGACGUUGCUUCUAGUCAGGUAUUUGAUUUAUUUAAUGAAUGCAGUAAGGUCUUGCAGUAUCAAAGCAGCAUUACAGUGGAGUAGAAAGCUGGACAGUGUGUGUAGGCCUUUAGCCAGCCCUACUUCACAGCUAAGUAAAACGAAGCACAAAGGCAUAACUUCACUGUGCUUUCAUGGCUGGUAAGUAUGAGUUAUGAUUUUCAUUCUGAUAGAUAUGCAAAGCUGGGUCUGAGAAAUGGGGUUGCACUCUUCCUGUGUCCCUUCCAUGCACAGCUGGUCUGUUUCCCUAGAAUGUAGCUGAACUGGAAGCAGCAUAGCGAGUCCGGCAUGCUUGAGACUGGUCAUACACCUCUGCAGCUUGUCACCUUCGGACUGUGGACAGGCCACUUAUGUGUACUGUGUCUUUUCUAUAAGUAAAGAUAACAAUAGCAUCUUCUCAUGAAGAUUAUAUAGGGUAGCCUGCAUAGAGGCUAACAACAGAGUUGUGUCCAUCUACCCUCAGUGCUGUUUGAUUACUUCAGUGAUGAUGUGAGUCUCCAGGACACCCUGAAGAGAUGUCCUGUGCUCUGUGCUGCAGCCUUUGGCCACAGUUACUUCUGUGUGGCCAGAAGUACUUCAGAUCCUGGCAAAGGCCUUAGCCACUGUGGACCAGGAAAGUGGUGUCAAGGCCAGUGGCUAAGAACAUGGCUUUUCCCUUGGCCUGAACAUGUCUGAAAAGACCAGCACUGGAAAGAGGCACUGUGCCUGGGACCUGUGGGCACCUUCCCCUAAGGAGUUUUGCUGUAGGGAGAAGGGAUGGAUGAAUGGGAUGGAUAUUAAUAAAUGAAAGGCUUGUUGCUGCCUUCCUGCUUUCUCUGCACCCCGUGGCUUGGCAGCAAGAUCUGUGCUACUCCUUGCCUUCCCAAGAAGGCUUUGGGUACAGAGCUGAAAGAUUUGAAACAUGUACCUUCUCACAGGCACACAACCAUAGCUGCUAUAAUAGCCCCCAAGUCUAACUGCAUCACAAAACAGUCUUCAGUAUUUUCUCCACCUGUUCGUUUCUCCUGUAGAGUCAAAUCAGCCUGUAUGAAACAUCCCUACUGAACAUGUUUAGAAAACUUCACCGUUAUUUGUUUGCUUUCCUUUAGUGUACACGGUUCUGACAUGUAACUGAAGUAUCUGCUUACAACAAAACGGUGGACAAGUCUCCAUAGUUCGUAGAAGAUGGUUUUCUUUAGAGUUCCUGUAUUCUAUAGAUAUCACUCAUGUAGACAGUUCUAGAAAUACAAGCUGACAGCUGUUUUCAGAGAAUUCAAGUCUUACCAUUGGUGACAGGGAGGAAGCCUCAAGGCUGAAGCAGGUUGGUGACACUCAGAGGGGCUUUCCAGGGACUGUCUGGAAACCAUUGCCUUCUGUUUAGACCAGUAUCCGAGGCAGAGGCACUGCUCCCAACCCUUGAGAAAAGAUCCUCCUUCCUCCCUCACCUUUGUUCUCUGCCUUCUCCCUCUGCCAUUGACCCUUGGCUCUCUACCUUCAGAUUUUGAUGGUGUGACUAUGACUAUGCUAGCUAUCGAAGACGUGCUUUCUGAGUUACACAUAUUCAUCUUAUUUCACGAUCAUCUAAUAGACAGUAUGUUUGUUCACACUGAGUUGGGUAAAGUGCUGACCCUCAAAUAUGUAUUAUGGAAUCUGAAAAUCAGAACUACCAAUGUCAGAAAUUUAUGUAUGGUUUUCAAAAUUCCUUUCAUUUUACACUCUAAAUCAGAGUUGGAAGAAAAUUGCAUUUUCUUGGGUCCAAUGAGAUGACUUGGUAAGUUAAAACCCUUGCUAUAGAAACCUGAGGAUCUGAGGUCAAUAUCCAAUCUUUUUUCCCUCAUUUUGUAACUAGGGCUAACUUGCAGUAUGGACUAGGGCUGGUUUAGAACUCAGAUAUUCACCUGCCUCAGUC
Mus musculus (house mouse) is the source of this 7866-nucleotide long non-coding RNA. RefSeq annotates it as predicted gene, 33097. The record is from RefSeq and is a predicted model, not a curated record. NCBI's taxonomy places the organism in Eukaryota, Metazoa, Chordata, Mammalia, Rodentia, Muridae. The transcript has 2 exons.